UACGUAGGGGGCAAGCGUUGUCCGGAAUUAUUGGGCGUAAAGCGCGUGUAGGCGGCCGUGCAAGUCGGGUGUGAAAGCCCUCGGCUCAACCGAGGAAGUGCGCCCGAAACUGCAUGGCUUGAGUACCGGAGAGGAUGGCGGAAUUCCCCAAGUAGAGGUGAAAUUCGUAGAUAUGGGGGAGGAACACCGGUGGCGAAGGCGGCCAUCUGGACGGAUACGUGACGCUGAGACGCGAAAGCGUGGGGAGCAAACAGG
Molecule: ribosomal RNA, 255 nt
Filed under: uncultured bacterium
Lineage: Bacteria
Description: partial 16S ribosomal RNA
Rfam family: Bacterial small subunit ribosomal RNA
Source: RNAcentral